UCGUGCUUGACGUUCUAACCUAGGUCCAUAAUCUGGAUCGGGGACCGUGUAUGGUGGGUAGUUUGACUGGGGCGGUCUCCUCCUAAAGAGUAACGGAGGAGCUCGAAGGUACGCUCAGCGCGGUCGGACAUCGCGCACUGUGUGCAAAGGCAUAAGCGUGCUUGACUGCAAGAUCGACGGAUCAAGCAGGUAGGAAACUAGGACUUAGUGAUCCGGUGGUUCUGUAUGGAAGGGCCAUCGCUCAACGGAUAAAAGGUACUCCGGGGAUAACAGGCUGAUACCGCCCAAGAGUUCAUAUCGACGGCGGUGUUUGGCACCUCGAUGUCGGCUCAUCACAUCCUGGGGCUGUAGUCGGUCCCAAGGGUAUGGCUGUUCGCCAUUUAAAGUGGUACGCGAGCUGGGUUCAGAACGUCGUGAGACAGUUCGGUCCCUAUCUGCCAUGGGCGUUGGAGAUUUGAGAGGGGCUGCUCCUAGUACGAGAGGACCGGAGUGGACGAACCUCUGGUGUUCCGGUUGUCACGCCAGUGGCAUUGCCGGGUAGCUAUGUUCGGAAGCGAUAACCGCUGAAAGCAUCUAAGCGGGAAGCGCGCCUCAAGAUGAGAUCUCCCGGGGC
This 613-nucleotide ribosomal RNA is filed under the name Mycobacterium tuberculosis. Its description in RNAcentral is "bacterial LSU rRNA". It matches the Rfam family "Bacterial large subunit ribosomal RNA", at positions 2208 to 2820 of the family's 2925-position model. Lineage: Bacteria; Bacillati; Actinomycetota; Actinomycetes; Mycobacteriales; Mycobacteriaceae. The record is from RNAcentral.